Transfer RNA from Ipomoea nil (Japanese morning glory), 73 nucleotides. It matches the Rfam family "tRNA". Rfam says of the family: Transfer RNA (tRNA) molecules are approximately 80 nucleotides in length. Their secondary structure includes four short double-helical elements and three loops (D, anti-codon, and T loops). Further hydrogen bonds mediate the characteristic L-shaped molecular structure. tRNAs have two regions of fundamental functional importance: the anti-codon, which is responsible for specific mRNA codon recognition, and the 3' end, to which the tRNAs corresponding amino acid is attached (by aminoacyl-tRNA synthetases). tRNAs cope with the degeneracy of the genetic code in two manners: having more than one tRNA (with a specific anti-codon) for a particular amino acid; and 'wobble' base-pairing, i.e. permitting non-standard base-pairing at the 3rd anti-codon position. Lineage: Eukaryota; Viridiplantae; Streptophyta; Magnoliopsida; Solanales; Convolvulaceae. The record is from Rfam.
GCCUGUCUAGCUCAAUCGGUAGAGCGCAAGGCUCUUAACCUUGUGGUCCUGGGUUCAAGUCCCAGGGUGGGUG